AAAGCAAGCUGAGCUGUCGCCGUAACAUCGUGUUAAGGAGGAAAGUCCGGGCAACAUAGAGCAUCUCGCUUCCUAACAGGAAGGCAGUUGUAAAAGACUGACGGAAAGUGCCACAGAAAAUAUACCGCCUGCUUACAUGUAAGCAGGUAAGGGUGAAAACGAGAGGUAAGAGCUCCCGGUUGUGUGUGGUGACACGCAUGGCGGUAAACCCCGAGAGUUGAAAGGUCAAAUAGGUUUCAAAUCGGGAGUUGCUCGCUCCCUUUGCCAUCGGCAAAUUUGAAACGGGUAGACCGUUAGACCUUGCUAGCAAUGGCAAGGCUAGAUAAAUGACAGAUAAAGAAUCAAAUCUAAAACAGAAUCCGGCUUAUAGGCUUGCUUUU
RNAcentral lists this RNase P RNA (380 nucleotides) under Albibacterium bauzanense. Its description in RNAcentral is "Pedobacter bauzanensis Bacterial RNase P class A". It matches the Rfam family "Bacterial RNase P class A". Rfam says of the family: Ribonuclease P (RNase P) is a ubiquitous endoribonuclease, found in archaea, bacteria and eukarya as well as chloroplasts and mitochondria. Its best characterised activity is the generation of mature 5'-ends of tRNAs by cleaving the 5'-leader elements of precursor-tRNAs. Cellular RNase Ps are ribonucleoproteins. Lineage: Bacteria; Pseudomonadati; Bacteroidota; Sphingobacteriia; Sphingobacteriales; Sphingobacteriaceae. The record is from RNAcentral.